Molecule: transfer RNA, 67 nt
Rfam family: tRNA
About the family: Transfer RNA (tRNA) molecules are approximately 80 nucleotides in length. Their secondary structure includes four short double-helical elements and three loops (D, anti-codon, and T loops).
UGAAUAUAGUUUAUAAAAAUUCUAGUCUGUGAACCUAGAGAUGAGAGCUAAACCCUCUCUAUUCACC